CUCCUGAGUGCUCAUUGGUGCUUUCAAGUGCUCAUCACAGCUCCCUUCCGCCCCUUCGCGCUGCUCGCCGGGGAAGCCUCCUAGCAAGGAAUCCCACGGCCAAAAAGUGGACGGGUGUCACCUCCUGAGAGCCCAGGAUACUUCCCAGGGAGCGUCACGUGCGCAGGUGUCCUGUCGCAGUCUGCACAGGCGGUAGCCCUUUGGCAAAAGGUCAGCAGAAUGGAGUUAUUUGGGACAGAUUGAGUAGUAGCUUUUCCUCUCCCCUUGACCCAAAGGUGACAACGUUGGAAAGUAAACAGGUAUCCUAAAACGUACCUUGUGUCAGGGUAUCGCUAUUCUGUAUCCAAGCUCAUUAAAACGAAAUUGCUAUCUA
Molecule: non-coding RNA, 373 nt
Organism: Microcebus murinus (gray mouse lemur)
Lineage: Eukaryota; Metazoa; Chordata; Mammalia; Primates; Cheirogaleidae
Source: RefSeq, a predicted model, not a curated record